RNAcentral lists this ribosomal RNA (465 nucleotides) under Vreelandella stevensii. RNAcentral describes it as "partial 16S ribosomal RNA". It matches the Rfam family "Bacterial small subunit ribosomal RNA", at positions 338 to 795 of the family's 1533-position model. The record is from RNAcentral. Lineage: Bacteria; Pseudomonadati; Pseudomonadota; Gammaproteobacteria; Oceanospirillales; Halomonadaceae.
CCUACGGGAGGCUGCAGUGGGGAAUAUUGGACAAUGGGCGAAAGCCUGAUCCAGCCAUGCCGCGUGUGUGAAGAAGGCCUUCGGGUUGUAAAGCACUUUCAGUGGGGAAGAAAGCCUUGGGGCUAAUACCCUCGAGGAAGGACAUCACCCACAGAAGAAGCACCGGCUAACUCCGUGCCAGCAGCCGCGGUAAUACGGAGGGCGCGAGCGUUAAUCGGAAUUACUGGGCGUAAAGCGCGCGUAGGCGGUCUGAUAAGCCGGUUGUGAAAGCCCCGGGCUCAACCUGGGAACGGCAUCCGGAACUGUCAGGCUAGAGUGCAGGAGAGGAAGGUAGAAUUCCCGGUGUAGCGGUGAAAUGCGUAGAGAUCGGGAGGAAUACCAGUGGCGAAGGCGGCCUUCUGGACUGACACUGACGCUGAGGUGCGAAAGCGUGGGUAGCAAACAGGAUUAGAUACCCCAGUAGUC